RNAcentral lists this ribosomal RNA (153 nucleotides) under uncultured Diversisporaceae. RNAcentral describes it as "5.8S ribosomal RNA". The stretch from base 40 to 153 matches the Rfam family "5.8S ribosomal RNA", at positions 1 to 115 of the family's 154-position model. Rfam says of the family: 5.8S ribosomal RNA (5.8S rRNA) is a component of the large subunit of the eukaryotic ribosome. It is transcribed by RNA polymerase I as part of the 45S precursor that also contains 18S and 28S rRNA. Lineage: Eukaryota; Fungi; Glomeromycota; Glomeromycetes; Diversisporales. The record is from RNAcentral.
UUUUAUGAAUAUUUUACUAUAAAAGUUAAUUAAAAAGAUCACUUUCAACAACGGAUCUCUUGGCUCUCGCAUCGAUGAAGAACGUAGCAAAGUGCGAUAAGUAGUGUGAAUUGCAGAAUUCCGUGGAUCAUCGAAUUUUUGAACGCAAUUGCA